Molecule: ribosomal RNA, 406 nt
Filed under: uncultured bacterium
Lineage: Bacteria
Description: partial 16S ribosomal RNA
Rfam family: Bacterial small subunit ribosomal RNA
Source: RNAcentral
AUUGAACGCUGGCGGCAGGCCUAACACAUGCAAGUCGAACGAGUGGCGGACGGGUGAGUAAUGUCUGGGAAACUGACCGAUGGAGGGGGAUAUCUACUGGAAACGGUCGCUAAUACCGCAUACCAUCGGAUGUGCCUAGAGGGGUUUAGAUAGUAGGUGGGGUAACGGCUCACCUAGGCGACGAUCCCGAGCUGGUCUGAGAGGAUGACCAGCCACACGGUAACUGAGACACGGUCCAGACUCCUACGGGAGGCAGCAGUGGGGAAUAUUGCACAAUGGGCGCAAGCCUGAUGCAGCCAUGCCGCGUGUAUGAAGAAGGCCUUCGGGUUGUAAAGUACUUUCAGCGAGGAGGCGUUACUCGCAGAAGAAGCACCGGCUAACUCCGUGCCAGCAGCCGCGGUAAUAC